AGUGAAUAUAGGACGUCCAACUUAACUUGGAGUCCGAACUCUCACUUUCUAACCCUGUGCACUUGUUUGGGAUAGUAACUCUCGCAAGAGAGCGAACUCCUAUUCACUUAUAAACACAAAGUCUAUGAAUGUAUUAAAUUUUAUAACAAAAUAAAACUUUCAACAACGGAUCUCUUGGCUCUCGCAUCGAUGAAGAACGCAGCGAAAUGCGAUAAGUAAUGUGAAUUGCAGAAUUCAGUGAAUCAUCGAAUCUUUGAACGCACCUUGCGCUCCAUGGUAUUCCGUGGAGCAUGCCUGUUUGAGUGUCAUGAAUACUUCAACCCUCCUCUUUCUUAAUGAUUGAAGAGGUGUUUGGUUUCUGAGCGCUGCUGGCCUUUACGGUCUAGCUCGUUCGUAAUGCAUUAGCAUCCGCAAUCGAACUUCGGAUUGACUUGGCGUAAUAGACUAUUCGCUGAGGAAUUCUAGUCUUCGGAUUAGAGCCGGGUUGGGUUAAAGGAAGCUUCUAAUCAGAAUGUCUACAUUUUAAGAUUAGAUCUCAAAUCAGGUAGGACUACCCGCUGAACUUAAGCAUAUCAAUAAGCGGAGGAAAAGAAACUAACAAGGAUUCCCCUAGUAGCGGCGAGCGAAGCGGGAAGAGCUCAAAUUUAUAAUCUGGCACCUUCGGUGUCCGAGUUGUAAUCUCUAGAAAUGUUUUCCGCGUUGGACCGCACACAAGUCUGUUGGAAUACAGCGGCAUAGUGGUGAGACCCCCGUAUAUGGUGCGGACGCCCAGCGCUUUGUGAUACAUUUUCGAAGAGUCGAGUUGUUUGGGAAUGCAGCUCAAAUUGGGUGGUAAAUUCCAUCUAAAGCUAAAUAUUGGCGAGAGACCGAUAGCGAACAAGUACCGUGAGGGAAAGAUGAAAAGCACUUUGGAAAGAGAGUUAACAGUACGUGAAAUUGUUGGAAGGGAAACGCUUGAAGUCAGACUUGCUUGCCGAGCAAUCGGUUUGCAGGCCAGCAUCAGUUUUCCGGGAUGGAUAAUGGUAGAGAGAAGGUAGCAGUUUCGGCUGUGUUAUAGCUCUCUGCUGGAUACAUCUUGGGGGACUGAGGAACGCAGUGUGCCUUUGGCGGGGGUUUCGACCUCUUCACACUUAG
This 1134-nucleotide ribosomal RNA is filed under the name Rhodotorula mucilaginosa. Its description in RNAcentral is "eukaryotic LSU rRNA". The stretch from base 531 to 1134 matches the Rfam family "Eukaryotic large subunit ribosomal RNA", at positions 1 to 620 of the family's 3401-position model. Lineage: Eukaryota; Fungi; Basidiomycota; Microbotryomycetes; Sporidiobolales; Sporidiobolaceae. The record is from RNAcentral.